GAUUGUGAGAAGACGAGAGCAUAUGGCCGCCGCCGUUGUGCGGCUGCAUGUGGUCUGCUGGUGGUCCCAGAAAUCCUGCCACAUCACCAGGGCUCUGGGAAGAGAACCUUUAACUUUUGGAGAAGUCCGGAAUAUACUUCUCAGAAGAACCAGGUGUUAUAGGGGGAUACAGGCAAGUAGAAUAUGAGCAAAGACAGUGCUGGACGACAGGGGAGUCUGCGCUCCACCAACUGCCGCGCUGAUCAGUUCAAACAGCCCCCUUUUUAUUCCAUUUUUCAUGAAGUAGUGGGUCUCCUUUUGUCUUCCUGGAAUAUCUUGCAAGCCAGUUCCUGGAACGUCUUGCAGUUAUCUUAUGUUUGCAUAAGCAGUCUCUGGUGUAAGUGAUUGCGGUUAUCUUAUCUUGCAUAAGCUGUGUCCGUUGGCUGUUUGCAUAUCUUCUGUUGCCUAACCUUUACAUUGGGCUUAACAUAUAUCUUAAUAAACAAUACCUCAGUCUA
Molecule: non-coding RNA, 497 nt
Organism: Taeniopygia guttata (zebra finch)
Lineage: Eukaryota; Metazoa; Chordata; Aves; Passeriformes; Estrildidae
Source: RefSeq, a predicted model, not a curated record